This 490-nucleotide ribosomal RNA is filed under the name uncultured bacterium. RNAcentral describes it as "partial 16S ribosomal RNA". It matches the Rfam family "Bacterial small subunit ribosomal RNA", at positions 30 to 507 of the family's 1533-position model. The record is from RNAcentral.
AUUGAACGCUGGCGGCAGGCCUAACACAUGCAAGUCGAACGGUAACAGGAAGCAGCUUGCUGCUUUGCUGACGAGUGGCGGACGGGUGAGUAAUGUCUGGGAAACUGCCUGAUGGAGGGGGAUAACUACUGGAAACGGUAGCUAAUACCGCAUAACGUCGCAAGACCAAAGAGGGGGACCUUAGGGCCUCUUGCCAUCGGAUGUGCCCAGAUGGGAUUAGCUAGUAGGUGGGGUAACGGCUCACCUAGGCGACGAUCCCUAGCUGGUCUGAGAGGAUGACCAGCCACACUGGAACUGAGACACGGUCCAGACUCCUACGGGAGGCAGCAGUGGGGAAUAUUGGACAAUGGGCGCAAGCCUGAUGCAGCCAUGCCGCGUGUAUGAAGAAGGCCUUCGGGUUGUAAAGUACCUUCAGCGGGGAAGAAGGGAGUAAAGUUAAUACCUUUGCGCAUUGACGUUACCCGCAGAAGAAGCACCGGCUAACUCCGUG